GACGAACGCUGGCGGCGUGCUUAACACAUGCAAGUCGAACGGAAAGGCCCUGCUUUUGUGGGGUGCUCGAGUGGCGAACGGGUGAGUAACACGUGAGUAACCUGCCCUUGACUUUGGGAUAACUUCAGGAAACUGGGGCUAAUACCGGAUAGGAGCUCCUGCUGCAUGGUGGGGGUUGGAAAGUUUCGGCGGUUGGGGAUGGACUCGCGGCUUAUCAGCUUGUUGGUGGGGUAGUGGCUUACCAAGGCUUUGACGGGUAGCCGGCCUGAGAGGGUGACCGGCCACAUUGGGACUGGGAUACGGCCCAGACUCCUACGGGAGGCAGCAGUGGGGAAUAUUGCACAAUGGGCGGAAGCCUGAUGCAGCAACGCCGCGUGCGGGAUGACGGCCUUCGGGUUGUAAACCGCUUUCGCCUGUGACGAAGCGUGAGUGACGGUAAUGGAUAAAGAAGCACCGGCUAACUACGUG
RNAcentral lists this ribosomal RNA (468 nucleotides) under uncultured bacterium. RNAcentral's name for it is "partial 16S ribosomal RNA". It matches the Rfam family "Bacterial small subunit ribosomal RNA", at positions 28 to 507 of the family's 1533-position model. The record is from RNAcentral.